RNAcentral lists this ribosomal RNA (502 nucleotides) under uncultured bacterium. Its description in RNAcentral is "partial 16S ribosomal RNA". It matches the Rfam family "Bacterial small subunit ribosomal RNA", at positions 29 to 523 of the family's 1533-position model. The record is from RNAcentral.
AUUGAACGCUGGCGGCGUGCUUAACACAUGCAAGUCGAUCGGUAACAGGUGUAGCAAUACAUGCUGACGAGAGGCGGACGGGUGAGGAAUAUUUGGGAAUCUGCCCAUCAGCGGGGGACAACCCGGGGAAACCCGGGCUAAUACCGCAUACGCUCUACGGAGGAAAGCCGGGGACCGCAAGGCCUGGCACUGAUGGAUGGGCCCAAAUCGGAUUAGCUAGUUGGCGGGGUAACGGCCCACCAAGGCGACGAUCCGUAGCUGGUCUGAGAGGACGAUCAGCCACACCGGAACUGAGACACGGUCCGGACUCCUACGGGAGGCAGCAGUGGGAAAUAUUGGACAAUGGGGGAAACCCUGAUCCAGCGACGCCGCGUGGGUGAAGAAGGCCUGCGGGUUGUAAAGCCCUUUCGGUAGGGACGAAAGCUCUUGCUCUAAUAAUGCAAGAGGUUGACUUAACCUACAUAAGAAGCACCGGCUAACUCUGUGCCAGCCGCCGCGGUAA